Molecule: long non-coding RNA, 828 nt
Organism: Harmonia axyridis
Lineage: Eukaryota; Metazoa; Arthropoda; Insecta; Coleoptera; Coccinellidae
Exons: 3
Source: RefSeq, a predicted model, not a curated record
CGAUUUCCGUUCCUCCUAUUAACGUUGUAAGGACACCUCCCCUUCCAGAUCCGGACACAACCGUCUUUAUAGAUAGCGCAGUGGCCGCAGUGUAGCAGAGUGUUGAGUUCGCCCACAGCCGCUUGAUCGGGGUGUUCAACAAGUUGUAUGUUAUGCAGGUUACGCACAUGUUUUUGUUUGUGUUGUGUUUUUGCGAGAUAAAUGAGAACAAUAAAUUCAAAAUGUAAUCGCAGUAUUGUUUUAAGUGAAGUGUAAUAUAGUUUUCAGUAAUUUGGGGUAUUGGUCCCACAUCAGCCGGGUCAAGUUUGACCAAGACUAAUCUAGGUUGUCGUCAGGAAGAUUCUCACUAUUCUUGCUGUCCAGAGCAGUACCUCCCUCUGCGCUGUGUCAAUAAGGUUUAACUCGAGAUCUAAGGAAUUUGUGUGGUCUCUCAGAUGGCUUUCAACAAGCCCGUUAGUACUGAUUAUAAGAGGGAGAAUGGUUACUGUUCUCAGUUUAUGGAUCUCUUUCAGUUCAAAAGCGAGGUCCUGAUAUUUGCCGAGCUUCUCAGAGUAUGCUUUGAUGAUAUUAUCAUCAGCUGGGACCGUUAUAUCUAUUAUAGUGGCUUCUUUAUCUACUUUGUUGAACAGCACUAUGUCAGGUCUAUUGUGCGCUAUCUUCCUGUCGGUUUGGAUGACAUUAUCCCAGUACACUGUUAGGAGACCUGUUUUGAUGGCUAUGGCUUGAUGGUAAAUUUUUGCCAUUGCAUUAUGGCGGUUCGUGUACUCUUUAGGAGCCAGGAUGGAGCACGACGAGGUGAUGUUUGGAUGGACUCAAGAGCUUGUCCAC